UUAGGGGUAGCCUAGUGGACAUGGCAUCUGCCCGGUAAGCGGAACAGUGUGGGUUCGAUUCCCAUCCCUGGAC
Molecule: transfer RNA, 73 nt
Filed under: Cordylochernes scorpioides
Lineage: Eukaryota; Metazoa; Arthropoda; Arachnida; Pseudoscorpiones; Chernetidae
Description: tRNA-Thr
Rfam family: tRNA
About the family: Transfer RNA (tRNA) molecules are approximately 80 nucleotides in length.
Source: RNAcentral